GGGGGAACAAUGGACCAUAGGAAUCAAUAAUGUCCAUUUUCCACAUGAUUAUGUUUGGAGCUUUAAGUUAACCUUUAUGGGAGAAGCAGCAGGAUCUGCAGUGUGACCAAAAUGAGAUGAUCCUGAGACAAGAUGUCAGAGGAAAGAAAACAACUUUUUUCCGUGAUAUUUUCUGAGCAGGACUGCAGAUUCCAGCAGGAUUAGAAAAGUUCCCGCUCUGCAGUAAACCGGUGGCCUGUUCAGAGCACUCUUUGUUCGCUUAGUCCUGGUACCUGGGCUAGCUUGGUUCCUUUCCAAGUGUCAAAUAGGACACCCAUCUUACCGGCCAAUGUCCAAAAUUACGGUUUGAACAUAAUUGGAGAACCUUUCCUUCAAGCAGAAACAAGCAACUGAGGGAAAAAGAAACACAACAAUAGUUUAAGAAAUUUUUUUUUUAAAUAAAAAAAAAGGAAAAGAGGAAGACUGGACAAAACAACACAAAGGGAGAAAGGAAAGAAACUGAAGAAAGAAGAUAAUAGACCAGCAAUUGCAGCACUUACAAUCACUAAUUCCCUUAAGGUUGAAACUGUAAUGACAUAAAAAGGGUCGAUGAUAUUUCACUGAUGGUAGAUCGCAGCCCCUGCAACGUAGCCUUUGUUACAUGAAGUCCGCUGGGAAAUAGAUGUUCUGUCUCUAUGACAAUAUAUUUUAACUGACUUUCUAGAUGCC
RNAcentral lists this small RNA (708 nucleotides) under Pan troglodytes (chimpanzee). RNAcentral's name for it is "processed transcript". Lineage: Eukaryota; Metazoa; Chordata; Mammalia; Primates; Hominidae. The record is from RNAcentral.